This 440-nucleotide ribosomal RNA is filed under the name uncultured bacterium. RNAcentral describes it as "partial 16S ribosomal RNA". It matches the Rfam family "Bacterial small subunit ribosomal RNA", at positions 339 to 795 of the family's 1533-position model. The record is from RNAcentral.
CUACGGGGGGCUCCAGUGGGGAAUAUUGCACAAUGGGCGAAAGCCUGAUGCAGCAACGCCGCGUGCGGGAAGAAGGCCCUAGGGUUGUAAACCGCUUUCAGCAGGGAAGAAAAUGACGGUACCUGCAGAAGAAGGUGCGGCCAACUACGUGCCAGCAGCCGCGGUGACACGUAGGCACCAAGCGUUGUCCGGAUUUAUUGGGCGUAAAGAGCUCGUAGGCGGUUCAGUAAGUCGGGUGUGAAAACUCUGGGCUCAACCCAGAGACGCCACCCGAUACUGCUGUGACUCGAGUGCGGUAGGGGGGCGGGGAAUUCCUAGUGUAGCGGUGAAAUGCGCAGAUAUUAGGAGGAACACCAGUGGCGAAGGCGCCGCUCUGGGCCGUAACUGACGCUGAGGAGCGAAAGCGUGGGUAGCAAACAGGAUUAGAUACCCCGGUAGUC